UGAAUACGAGACGCUACGGCGUCGAAGCAGUCUAUGUCAUACUUCCAAGAAAAGCUUGCACUGUCAUAAACAAAUAAUGCCUGUACCAUAACCGACACAGGUGGGUAGGUAGAGUAUACUAAGGGGCGCGAGAUAACUCUCUCUAAGGAACUCGGCAAAAUGACUCCGUAACUUCGGGAGAAGGAGUGCCUUAUUUAUAAGGUUGCAAUAACAAGAUCCAAGCAACUGUUUAUCAAAAACACAGGUCUCCGCUAAGUCGUAAGACGAUGUAUGGGGGCUGACGCCUGCCCAGUGCCAGAAGGUUAAAGAAGUUGGUUAGCAUUAGCGAAGCUGAUAACUGAAGCCCUGGUGAACGGCGGCCGUAACAAUAACGGUCCUAAGGUAGCGAAAUUCCUUGUCGGGUAAGUUCCGACCCGCACGAAAGGCGUAAUGAUUUGGAUACUGUCUCGGAGAGGGGCUCGGUGAAAUAGACUUGUCUGUGAAGAUGCGGACUACCUGCACCAGGACAGAAAGACCCUAUGAAGCUUUACUGUAACCUGAAAUUGAAAUUGGACUUUAUUUGCGCAGUAUAGGUGGGAGGCAUUGAGAAUAUUCUUGCGGGAAUGUUGGAGCCAUCAGUGAGAUACCACUCUUGUAAUGUUAGAUUUCUAACUUUGUAUCAUUAUCUGGUCAAAGGACAGUUUCAGGCGGGCAGUUUGACUGGGGCGGUCGCCUCCUAAAUGGUAACGGAGGCGCACAAAGGUUUCCUCUGAACGGGUAGAAAUCGUAUCUAGAGUGUAAAGGCAUAAGGAAGCUUGACUGUGAGACCUACAAGUCGAGCAGGGACGAAAGUCGGUCUUAGUGAUCUGACGGUGCUGAGUGGAAAGGCCGUCACUCAACGGAUAAAAGUUACUCUAAGGAUAACAGGCUGAUCUCCCCCAAGAGUUCACAUCGACGGGGAGGUUUGGCACCUCGAUGUCGGCUCAUCGCAUCCUGGGGCGGUAGUACGUCCCAAGGGUUGGGCUGUUCGCCCAUGAAAGCGGUACGCGAGCUGGGUUCAGAACGUCGUGAGACAGUUCGGUCCAUAUCCGGUGUAGGCGUUAGAAUAUUGAGAGGAGCCUUCUUUAGUACGAGAGGACCGAGAAGGACAUACCUCUGGUGUACCAGUUAUCGUGCCAACGGUAAACGCUGGGUAGCUAUGUAUGGAGAGGAUAACCGCUGAAAGCAUCUAAGUGGGAAGCCCACCUCAAGAUAAG
Molecule: ribosomal RNA, 1235 nt
Filed under: metagenome
Description: bacterial LSU rRNA
Rfam family: Bacterial large subunit ribosomal RNA
Source: RNAcentral